CCUACGGGUGGCAGCAGUGGGGAAUAUUGGGCAAUGGGCGCAAGCCUGACCCAGCAACGCCGCGUGAAGGAAGAAGGCCCUCGGGUUGUAAACUUCUUUUAUCAAGGACGAAACAAAUGACGGUACUUGAUGAAUAAGCCACGGCUAACUACGUGCCAGCAGCCGCGGUAAUACGGAGGAUGCGAGCGUUAUCCGGAUUUAUUGGGUUUAAAGGGUGCGUAGGCGGAAUAUCAAGUCAGCGGUAAAAAUUCGGGGCUCAACCCCGUCGUGCCGUUGAAACUGAUGUUCUUGAGUGGGCGAGAAGUAUGCGGAAUGCGUGGUGUAGCGGUGAAAUGCAUAGAUAUCACGCAGAACUCCGAUUGCGAAGGCAGCAUACCGGCGCCCAACUGACGCUGAAGCACGAAAGCGUGGGUAUCGAACAUGAUUAGAUACCCCUGUAGUC
This 442-nucleotide ribosomal RNA is filed under the name uncultured bacterium. Its description in RNAcentral is "partial 16S ribosomal RNA". It matches the Rfam family "Bacterial small subunit ribosomal RNA", at positions 338 to 795 of the family's 1533-position model. The record is from RNAcentral.